RNAcentral lists this ribosomal RNA (468 nucleotides) under uncultured bacterium. Its description in RNAcentral is "partial 16S ribosomal RNA". It matches the Rfam family "Bacterial small subunit ribosomal RNA", at positions 28 to 523 of the family's 1533-position model. The record is from RNAcentral.
GAUGAACGCUGGCGGCGUGCCUAACACAUGCAAGUCGAGCGAUUUACUUCGGUAAAGAGCGGCGGACGGGUGAGUAACGCGUGGGUAACCUGCCCUGUACACACGGAUAACAUACUGAAAGGUAUGCUAAUACGGGAUAACAUAAGAGAGUCGCAUGGCUUUCUUAUCAAAGCUUUUGCGGUACAGGAUGGACCCGCGUCUGAUUAGCUAGUUGGUAAGGUAACGGCUUACCAAGGCGACGAUCAGUAGCCGACCUGAGAGGGUGAUCGGCCACAUUGGAACUGAGACACGGUCCAAACUCCUACGGGAGGCAGCAGUGGGGAAUAUUGCACAAUGGGCGAAAGCCUGAUACAGCAACGCCGCGUGAGCGAUGAAGGCCUUCGGGUCGUAAAGCUCAGUCCUCAAGGAAGAUAAUGACGGUACUUGAGGAGGAAGCCCCGGCUAACUACGUGCCAGCCGCCGCGGUAA